This 253-nucleotide ribosomal RNA is filed under the name uncultured bacterium. Its description in RNAcentral is "partial 16S ribosomal RNA". It matches the Rfam family "Bacterial small subunit ribosomal RNA", at positions 524 to 776 of the family's 1533-position model. The record is from RNAcentral.
UACGUAGGUGGCAAGCGUUGUCCGGAAUUAUUGGGCGUAAAGCGCGCGCAGGCGGUUUCUUAAGUCUGAUGUGAAAGCCCACGGCUCAACCGUGGAGGGUCAUUGGAAACUGGGAGACUUGAGUGCGGAAGAGAAGAGCGGAAUUCCACGUGUAGCGGUGAAAUGCGUAGAGAUGUGGAGGAACACCAGUGGCGAAGGCGGCUCUUUGGUCUGUAACUGACGCUGAGGCGCGAAAGCGUGGGGAGCGAACAGG